RNAcentral lists this ribosomal RNA (396 nucleotides) under uncultured bacterium. Its description in RNAcentral is "bacterial SSU rRNA". It matches the Rfam family "Bacterial small subunit ribosomal RNA", at positions 29 to 416 of the family's 1533-position model. The record is from RNAcentral.
AUUGGACGCUGGCGGCAUGCCUUACACAUGCAAGUCGAACGGCAGCACGGGGGCAACCCUGGUGGCGAGUGGCGAACGGGUGAGUAAUGCAUCGGAACGUGUCCUCUUGUGGGGGAUAACCAGUCGAAAGAUUGGCUAAUACCGCAUGAGAUCGAGAGAUGAAAGCGGGGGACCCGAGGGUAACUUCGGGCCUCGCGCGAGAGGAGCGGCCGAUGCCGGAUUAGCUAGUUGGUGGGGUAAGAGCCUACCAAGGCGACGAUCCGUAGCUGGUCUGAGAGGACGACCAGCCACACUGGGACUGAGACACGGCCCAGACUCCUACGGGAGGCAGCAGUGGGGAAUUUUGGACAAUGGGCGCAAGCCUGAUCCAGCCAUGCCGCGUGUGUGAAGAAGGCC